This 2307-nucleotide long non-coding RNA is filed under the name Volvox carteri. Its description in RNAcentral is "long non-coding RNA (VCAR_LNC001324)". The record is from RNAcentral. Lineage: Eukaryota; Viridiplantae; Chlorophyta; Chlorophyceae; Chlamydomonadales; Volvocaceae.
AAAGCCCUUAGGCUUAGCUGCACUUAUCCAACGCAAAAGAUCAGUAUAUGCCAGCUAGCAGGGCAACUUCCUUUUGGCCUGUUGCCAAGCCUUACUCGGUCAGCUCCCUUACACCCUGUUGUUAAUUUGAAAGCCAUAUGUUAUACAUACUUAAGGCAUGUAUUUAAGGUUUAAUUAGCAAAGAUUCUCUCCUGCUGUGUUCAAGCAUGACAAGUUAAGUCACCAGCUCGCACCGUCCCACAGGCACAGCAUUGUUGAUGUAACUAGCUAAAACAUGUGGGAGGUGCAUUAGUCUCAACCGCAGGCGCGGCGGCGGCCAUACUCCACCCCCUGUCUUUGCACUGGUGCCGAUAUGCAUGUGACCGACUACCAAACCAGUUGGCACAGUUGGUGCAGUGAAAAGGCUGGGAGGAGUCCGGAGCUACAUCCGGUCUGUAAAUGAUCUUUCGUGGUUUGGAUGCCACCUCCAGCGCAUUCAAUGACAUGGCAAACUGGCUAAUGUAACCAGUAAGAAUGAUCACAAUGUGUAGGAAUAGCAGAGCAUUCACGUUUGUAUCAAUCGUUGAGCUUCUAAUGCUUCUACACAACCAAGCAUUUGGUCCCGCCAUGACAAAAGAGCAUCCUAUUCUAUGGCAGGUUCUGGCAAGGAUUUAAAUGAUGCAAUCAACAAAGUUCGGUAGCCACGAAACAACUUCCCAAUAUUGAAUUUGCAGCCAUGUGAACUUUAUACCAUGCUGUACACUUCCGGACCAGGGUCCGGAAUUGUACGGCUUUUCCCCUCUUGCUGCCCAAAAGUCAUGUGAACGUGGACAAUUUGCAACACCAAUAAGAAACGUCACUGCGUUUAGCACUAUGUGAUUGCUGUGCAAAUUGCACCAUCUGGUACCUCCCAGCCCCACCUUCGUCGCUGCCGCUGCUACUCCGUUGCUAAUUCCCCCCGCCGCCGUGCCUGCUGUUGAGACUAAUAGCCCUCCCAGCCCCACCUUCAUCGCUGAAGCUGCUACUCCGUUGCUAUCUCCCGCCGCCGCCGCGCCUCCUGUUCAGAUUAAUGCAUCUCCCAGCCCCACCGCCGUCGCUGCUGUUGCUACUCCGUUGCUAAUUCCCGCCGCCACCGCGCCUGCCAUUUAGGCUACUGCACCUCCCAGCCCCAACGCCGUCGCGGCCGCUGCUACUCCGUUGCUAAUUCCCCCAGCCGCCGCGCCUGCUGCUCUUGCUAUUUCCCCCCCCACCACGCCUGCCGUUUAGGCUACUGCACCUUCCGACCCCACCGCCGUCACUGCCACUUCUGCUGCGUUGCUAAUUCCCGCCGCCGCCACGCCUGCCAUUUAGGCUACUGCACCUCCCAACCCCACUGCCGUCGCUGCCACUGCUGCUGCGUUGCUAAUUCCCGACGCCGCCACGCCUGCCGUUUAGGCUACUGCACCUCCCAACCCCACUGCCGUCGCUGCCACUGCUGCUGUGUUGCUAAUUCCCGCCGCCGCCGUGCCUGCCAUUUAGGCUACUGCACCUCCCAGCCUCAACGCCGUCGCUGCUGCUGCUGCUGCUGCUGCAUUGCUAUUUCCUGCCACCGCCGCGCCUGCCAUUUAGGCUACUGCACCUCCUAGCCCCACCUUCGUCGCGGCCGCUGCUACUCCGUUGCUAAAUCCUGCCGCCGCCGCGCCUGCUGCUGUUGCUAUUUCCCCCCGCCGCCGCGCCUGCCGUUUAGGCUACUGCACCUCCCAGCCCCAACGCCGUCGCUGCCGCUGCUGCUGUGUUGCUAUUUCCCGCCGCCGUCACGCCUGCCGUUUAGGCUACUGCACCUCCCAACCCCACUGCCGUCGCUGCCACUGCUGCUGCGUUGCUAUUUCCCGAGCUCAGAUAAUUAACCGCUCAUCGGUAACCGCUCCCGUGAGCACAGCAAUUUGCCAGAUAUAAUUCUCAAGAAGGGGUGAUGUGCGCCAACAGAAUCCCAACCUUUCCGUGGAAUUCCCAAAGCUGCGAAACCCUGAAUGCGGCCCCAAAAGUCAACAAUCACAUGAUUGGUCGCAUACUGGUCCAUUUCUAACAUCGGUAUACUUGCGGCAUAAGGCAAGAAAUGUGCUAAGGACGGUCGUACAUUUACAAAGCGUUUUCCUCUGCAUGAAGACUGUCACGCGGAAAAUUCAAUCUCAUUACCGUAAGAUUAUCAUACCAUGUCUUACAGUUUAGCUUUUCGCAAUUCCAUACUAGCUUCGUUCACCGCAAUGAACCUGGCCCGGAGCUGCGUAAUCCGGUAGCUAAAAUUGCGUAAUGGAGUAGCUGCUGUGCUUAAUGGGUAACUGCAUCUUA